GCGACCGUAGCUCAGUUGGUAGAGCACCGGGUUGUGAUCCUGGAUGUCGCGGGUUCGAGCCCCGUCGGUCGCC
RNAcentral lists this transfer RNA (73 nucleotides) under Phycisphaerae bacterium. Its description in RNAcentral is "tRNA-His". It matches the Rfam family "tRNA". From Rfam's summary of the family: Transfer RNA (tRNA) molecules are approximately 80 nucleotides in length. The record is from RNAcentral. Lineage: Bacteria; Pseudomonadati; Planctomycetota; Phycisphaerae. RNAcentral also lists the same sequence under 2 other names.